This 253-nucleotide ribosomal RNA is filed under the name uncultured bacterium. RNAcentral describes it as "partial 16S ribosomal RNA". It matches the Rfam family "Bacterial small subunit ribosomal RNA", at positions 524 to 776 of the family's 1533-position model. The record is from RNAcentral.
CACGUAGGGCGCGAGCGUUGUCCGGAAUUAUUGGGCGUAAAGAGCUCGUAGGCGGCCUGUUGCGUCCGCUGUGAAAGCCCGGGGCUUAACCCCGGGUCGGCAGUGGGUACGGGCUGACUAGAGUGCGGUAGGGGAGACUGGAAUUCCUGGUGUAGCGGUGAAAUGCGCAGAUAUCAGGAGGAACACCGGUGGCGAAGGCGGGUCUCUGGGCCGACAUUGACGCUGAAAACCGAAAGCUAGGGGAGCAAACGGG